Molecule: ribosomal RNA, 393 nt
Filed under: uncultured bacterium
Lineage: Bacteria
Description: partial 16S ribosomal RNA
Rfam family: Bacterial small subunit ribosomal RNA
Source: RNAcentral
AUACGGAAGGUCCGGGCGUUAUCCGGAUUUAUUGGGUUUAAAGGGAGCGCAGGCGGAGAUGCAAGCGUGACGUCAAAUUUCGGGGCUCAACCCCGUCUCGCGUCGCGAACUGCGUCCCUUGGUUGCGGGAAGGGGAGGCGGAACUCGUGGUGUAGCGGGUAAAUGCAUAGAUAUCACGAAGAACUCCGAUCGCGAAGGCAGCCUUCCGGCCCGUCAACGACGCUCAUGCUCGAAGGUGCGGGUAUCAAACAGGAUUAGAUACCCUGGUAGUCCGCACAGUAAACGAUGGACACCCGCGGUUUGGCCUAUAUGGCUGAGCCGCCAAGCGAAAGCGUUAAGUGUCCCACCUGGGGAGUACGCCGGCAACGGUGAAACUCAAAGGAAUUGACGGGG